Molecule: non-coding RNA, 97 nt
Organism: Ailuropoda melanoleuca (giant panda)
Lineage: Eukaryota; Metazoa; Chordata; Mammalia; Carnivora; Ursidae
Source: Rfam
GUGCUCGCUUUAGCAGCACUUAUACUAAAAUUGGAACUAUAUAGAGACCAGCUUGGUCCCUGCGCAAGGACAAUGAGUAAAAGAUCCCCAAGUGAUU